UACGAAGGGGGCUAGCGUUGCUCGGAAUCACUGGGCGUAAAGCGCACGUAGGCGGCUUUCUAAGUCAGGGGUGAAAUCCUGGAGCUCAACUCCAGAACUGCCUUUGAUACUGGAGAGCUUGAGUCCGGGAGAGGUGAGUGGAACUCCGAGUGUAGAGGUGAAAUUCGUAGAUAUCGGGAGGAACACCAGUGGCGAAGGCGACUACCUGGCCCAUUCUUGACGCUGAGGCGCGAAAGCUAGGGGAGCGAACGGG
Molecule: ribosomal RNA, 253 nt
Filed under: uncultured bacterium
Lineage: Bacteria
Description: partial 16S ribosomal RNA
Rfam family: Bacterial small subunit ribosomal RNA
Source: RNAcentral